RNAcentral lists this ribosomal RNA (497 nucleotides) under uncultured bacterium. Its description in RNAcentral is "partial 16S ribosomal RNA". It matches the Rfam family "Bacterial small subunit ribosomal RNA", at positions 28 to 507 of the family's 1533-position model. The record is from RNAcentral.
GAUGAACGCUGGCGGCGUGCCUAAUACAUGCAAGUCGAGCGAACGGACGAGAAGCUUGCUUCUCUGAUGUUAGCGGCGGACGGGUGAGUAACACGUGGAUAACCUACCUAUAAGACUGGGAUAACUUCGGGAAACCGGAGCUAAUACCGGAUAAUAUUUUGAACCGCAUGGUUCAAAAGUGAAAGACGGUCUUGCUGUCACUUAUAGAUGGAUCCGCGCUGCAUUAGCUAGUUGGUAAGGUAACGGCUUACCAAGGCAACGAUGCAUAGCCGACCUGAGAGGGUGAGCGGCCACACUGUAACUGAGACACGGUCCAGACGCCUACGGGAGGCAGCAGUAGGGAAUCUUCCGCAAUGGGCGAAAGCCUGACGGAGCAACGCCGCGUGAGUGAUGAAGGUCUUCGGAUCUUAAAACUCUGUUAUUAGGGAAGAACAUAUGUGUAAGUAACUGUGCACAUCUUGACGGUACCUAAUCAGAAAGCCACGGCUAACUACGUG